UACAGUACGCUCACAAAGGAUGCUGUGACGCACCAGGAUCGCAUCUGUCAAACACUCGCUUAAUUACACUCGCACUCACACACACUUAGAUCGCUAACGCACCUGUCUGAAGCUAGCUAGCAGGUGCACGAACACAAACAAGAAGCAAAAUAUGCGCUCAAAAGUUCAAUUAAGCACGCGAAACCACACGAUCUCCGAUGAUACUGCAGGUGCUGCAAUCGGAUCUGAUACGGGAAGCCUCAGAAAGUGAGACGUUUAACACAUACACAGGCACACAUGAGCGCGGACAUGAUGAAAUAAGAACAGGGUGGACACCACGCGGGCUUGAUCUUUAACGUUAUUCGUCCCAGGAGAAAAUUCAGCGUUUGGUAAAAACUGGAGGAAAUUGGACACAUAAUUGGGAUUUGGGUUUCAUAUUUGCAAUUUCCUUUCGUUCGUAGUCCUUCCUGCUGCUUCCAAGGGUAAGCAGA
This is a long non-coding RNA of Anopheles arabiensis, 470 nucleotides long. RefSeq lists it as uncharacterized. The transcript is spliced from 3 exons. NCBI's taxonomy places the organism in Eukaryota, Metazoa, Arthropoda, Insecta, Diptera, Culicidae. The record is from RefSeq and is a predicted model, not a curated record.